GAAUAUUAAUAAUGUUUCUUUAUGUUUGUUGGUGAUGAUGCAGCCGUCUGUUUGCAGAGAAGAGAAGAGAAAGAUGAGAAUAAGAUAUCAAAAAUCAUCUUCUUAACAGACCUUUUCUUCUUUGGAAUUACACUUCCUUUCUUCUUCUUGAAGUGUGGCUCUGUUAUGGUCGUCACCGCUUCCAUUCCGUGGUUCACCUCCGCCACUUUCUCUUCCUCCGCCGGCUUUAUCCCUGCUGUGAGCAUUUCCAUCAUGGGUUCCCUUGUACCAGCUUCUCCAGCGUUAUUUUCAUAUACUUUUGCUGAAUUGUCGUAUCGCCCGG
This 322-nucleotide unclassified non-coding RNA is filed under the name Hevea brasiliensis (rubber tree). Lineage: Eukaryota; Viridiplantae; Streptophyta; Magnoliopsida; Malpighiales; Euphorbiaceae. The record is from RNAcentral.